CCAUGCAUGUCUAAGUACAUGCCGUAUUAAGGCGAAACCGCGAAUGGCUCAUUAAAUCAGUUAUGGUUCCUUGGAUCGUACCUUACUACUUGGAUAACUGUGGCAAUUCUAGAGCUAAUACAUGCAGCAGAGCUCCGACCUUCGGGGACGAGCGCUUUUAUUAGACCAAAACCAAUCGGACCUCGCGUCCGUUUCUGGUGGUGACUCUGUAUAACUUUGGGCUGAUCGCACGGGCGUGUCCCGGCGACGUAUCUUUCAAGUGUCUGCCUUAUCAACUUUCGAUGGUAGGUUACGCGCCUACCAUGGUCGUAACGGGUAACGGGGAAUCAGGGUUCGAUUCCGGCUAAUUCUAGCUCCAAUAGCGUAUAUUAAAGUUGUUGCGGUUAAAAAGCUCGUAGUUGGAUCUCAGUUCCAGACGGGUGGUCCGCCUACCGGUGGUUACUGCCUGUUCUGAACAGCCAGCCGGUUUCUCUUGAUGAUCUUCACCGGUUGUCUUGGGUGACCGGCAAGUUUACUUUGAAAAAAUUAGAGUGCUCAAAGCAGGCGUGACGCCUGAAUAAUGGUGCAUGGAAUAAUGGAAUAGGACCUCGGUUCUAUUUUGUUGGUUUUCGGAACACGAGGUAAUGAUUAAGAGGGACAGACGGGGGCAUUCGUAUUGCGACGCUAGAGGUGAAAUUCUUGGACCGUCGCAAGACGAACUACUGCGAAAGCAUUUGCCAAGAAUGUUUCCAUUAAUCAAGAACGAAAGUUAGAGGUUCGAAGGCGAUCAGAUACCGCCCUAGUUCUAACCAUAAACGAUGCCAGCCAGCGAUCCGGCUGUGUUCCUCAAAUGACACGCCGGGCAGCUUCCGGGAAACCAAAGCUUUUGGGUUCCGGGGGAAGUAUGGUUGCAAAGCUGAAACUUAAAGGAAUUGACGGAGGGGCACCACCAGGAAUGGAGCCUGCGGCUUAAUUUGACUCAACACGGGAAAACUUACCCGGCCCGGACGCAGGAAGGAUUGACAGAUUAAGAGCUCUUUCUUGAUUCUGCGGGGUGUGGUGCAUGGCCGUUCUUAGUUGGUGGAUCGAUUUGUCUGGUUAAUUCCGUUAACGAACGAGACUCUAGCCUACUAAAUAGACGUUCCGAUCAUCUACGUCGGACGUCCUUCUUAGAGGGACAAGCGGCGUCUAGCCGCACGAGACAGAGCAAUAACAGGUCUGUGAUGCCCUUAGAUGUCCGGGGCCGCACGCGCGCUACAUUGAAGGAAUCAUCGUGUGCUUUCCCUAUCCGACAGGAUUGGGUAACCCGUUGAACCUCCUUCGUGCUGGGGAUAGGGGCUUGUAACUGUUCCCCUUGAACGAGGAAUUCCCAGUAAGCACGAGUCAUCAGCUCGUGUUGAUUACGUCCCUGCCCCUUGUACACACCGCCCGUCGCUACUACCGAUUGAAUAAUUUAGUGAGGUCUUCGGACUGGUGCUCGGAGCGGCCCUCCAGGGUCGCGCCGGCGCGUCGGAAAGAUGACCAAACUUGAUUAUUUAGAGGAAGUAAAAGUCGUAACAAGGUUUCC
Molecule: ribosomal RNA, 1546 nt
Filed under: Rahavavy fanivelona
Lineage: Eukaryota; Metazoa; Arthropoda; Arachnida; Araneae; Phyxelididae
Description: partial 18S ribosomal RNA
Rfam family: Eukaryotic small subunit ribosomal RNA
Source: RNAcentral